GACGAACGCUGGCGGCGUGCUUAACACAUGCAAGUCGAACGGAAAGGCCCUGCUUUUGUGGGGUGCUCGAGUGGCGAACGGGUGAGUAACACGUGAGUAACCUGCCCUUGACUUUGGGAUAACUUCAGGAAACUGGGGCUAAUACCGGAUAGGAGCUCCUGCUGCAUGGUGGGGGUUGGAAAGUUUCGGCGGUUGGGGAUGGGCUCGCGGCUUAUCAGCUUGUUGGUGGGGUAGUGGCUUACCAAGGCUUGACGGGUAGCCGGCCUGAGAGGGUGACCGGCCACAUUGGGACUGAGAUACGGCCCAGACUCCUACGGGAGGCAGCAGUGGGGAAUAUUGCACAAUGGGCGGAAGCCUGAUGCAGCAACGCCGCGUGCGGGAUGACGGCCUUCGGGUUGUAAACCGCUUUCGCCUGUGACGAAGCGUGAGUGACGGUAAUGGGUAAAGAAGCACCGGCUAACUACGUG
This 467-nucleotide ribosomal RNA is filed under the name uncultured bacterium. RNAcentral's name for it is "partial 16S ribosomal RNA". It matches the Rfam family "Bacterial small subunit ribosomal RNA", at positions 28 to 507 of the family's 1533-position model. The record is from RNAcentral.